This 6809-nucleotide long non-coding RNA is filed under the name Pelobates cultripes (western spadefoot toad). The record is from RNAcentral. Lineage: Eukaryota; Metazoa; Chordata; Amphibia; Anura; Pelobatidae.
GUCGUUUGGCUGAUGUUAAUAGGUGUUUUGAAAGAUCAGCGCGUGCAGAAUCCAUUUCUUUCCUGCAUUUUCGGAUUUUGUUUUCAUAAACCAUUUCCAAUAAACAGAGUGGGUGGCACUUUUAUUUAUAGCUCACUUAGUUUUUUAUUUUAAUUAGUUUUUCUGGAAACGCAGAAGAGAAUGUAUGCAAAACACUCCCGAAUAAUUCACGUGUUUAUUGUUGAGCGUUUAGUCCUGCUAACAAUAUUGUUUUUGUUGAUUUAUCAGACCAUUGAAACAUAUUAAUUGGUGCAUUUUAUUUUAUCAUUGAAACUGCUUAUACCGUCAGUAUAGAGACGUGCAUUAUCCACACUGCUCUUAAAACGCCUCCCCUUUUUGUUUACGCCUACUUAGCGUUGGGCAAGCUUUCUUCCACUUAUUAAAGCCAGCAUUUCUUGCAGAUCUUGAAAGUGUUACCCAGUAUCUGAAAUCUUAUCCUCUGCGAUAGACUGGAUCAUGCAAUACGUUUGCCUGGUAACACAUUUAUUUUCUUAUGCGGACAUUCUAAACACUAUAACAAUUAAGCCCAUGCCUAUGGUGUGGUAUGUCUGUAAAUUUUCUCUGACAUACGUCAAACCAUUAUGGACACAUAUGGCAAAACAAAAACAAAAAACACUCUCCUGGAAUCCACAGCUUUGUCAAUUUUUAGCAGAGGCGAAGCAGCCAAUACCAGUUGCGUUAUUUGUUAUAAAUUUCAAUGCCCCCAUUAGAAAACCUGUUUAAAUCUGGGGGAUUAAGUGUUAGUGUUCUAAAACAAUUGAUAUUGGUUAUACAUUUAGAAAACUAGGAAAAUCUUGCCUGAUUUGGGUUUCUGAUAGCUAGACAUAGUCUAUAUAAGAAGAGCCAUCACUAGCCUCGAUUUUUCUUUUGGAUAUUUUUUUUUUUUUCAAAUGAUCACAAUCUGUUAGAGCAACUUUUCAAACAAUUUCGCUACAACAAUCACCAUAGACUUUAAUAGUGACUUGGAAAGUUUUUUGUAACAGAUUUGAAUAAUUUGAAACGCCUAUUAAAUCAAGGCCAUAGUUGGCAAUCGCUACAGUUUAUGUGAAUUUAAGGAGUUGAUUGAUGCAUGGAAUGAGUACAUUGCCUAAACAGGUAAUUUCCUUCGGACAGUCUCAUACAGAUGUAUUCCAGCGACACUCUGUAACCGAUAACAUUAUCCUCUAACAUAGACAUUCCAUCUGUGUGUGUAACUUUUAUUUUUUAUUUUUUUACAUUCUUUCAGUCAAAAAUACUGUUUUUCAUAAUUUGAUCUCUAAGUACGGCAUAGAAGGCAUAAUGAACAGUUUUCAAAGUGGAUGGUGGUGUAUUUCUCUCGCUGUGUUUGGUAAAUGGUGAGUUCCACUAGAAAUAUCCUUGUGUGGACUGCAAGCUGUUGUAUUUUAAGACAUCUCUUAUCUAAAAGCUUUACCCCAUUGAGUGAUAUUUAUUAAUUUAUUUUAUUCCUCUCGUUCUCGCAUUUCAACUCCUUGCAUGGAAUGUCUGUGUUGGAGGUUGGAAAAGUUAUCUCAGAAUCUAUAACGAGGCUGUGAUGUCAAAAUUAGCUUCACCCAUUAUAUUUGGGGAAAAAAUAAAAUUCUCAGUUUACCUCCCUCAUUUGCUCCCCUGUCUCACACUCUAACCCUCUACCCCCAUUUACGUAUGUGGCAGCUCAAUAGGACUGUUCGAUUUUGAGAUAUUCCAAAUAGUUUCUGGCUACCUAAUAAAAUACCUCAGCUUAUCUUGGUUUUAACUUGGAUGUACUCAAAUAUUCUGGAAAGUAACUGUAUUCUUAAUAGGUAAAAUUUAAAUUGUUUGUUUUUGUUUUGUUUUUUUGUAUAAUUCUAUUCUGUUGGCUCCUCAAUAUAUCAUCAAGAUGGUGAAGGUAAAGGGAAAUGACAUUAGUGAUUUUUGGAUUAAGUUUCAUGUCAUUUCUACCAUAACUUGUCCAAAGCUUGCUUUAAUGUCGAGCAAGGUUUGCCUUGAAUCUUUAAGGUUAGUUUCGACAACCUACCACUCUGACAUCCCUUGUGAUUCAGGCUUUAGUGCAAUCUCCACUCUGCUCCAAUAAGGUUAAUGAUUAGACAGCAGGGCUGGUGUAGAAAACAUUGUUAUUAUCAUCCUCAUCUAAAACGCAUCCUAACCAGUCCACCAUUGGGAGGGAGUGAGAGGGAAUCCACAAGAUGGUCAUUUUACCUAUCUCAAACUUUGAAUCCCACUUGGGCGCAUUAACUGUAAACCGAUUGGUCCUGUUUAUUACCCUCUUAUUUUUCUGUAGUAUUACUAGCCAUGUUAGUUUGUCAAUCCUAUCAAAAAAAAAAACAAUGUCUUUAUAUUUUUUAUAUAUAUAUUAUUGCUUCUAUGCUCGUCUUUACCAAAAAGAAAAAAGUAACCAAAAAGCAAAUAAAAUGUGAAUACAAAAAUGGAGAAGGGAAAUACUUCUUUGCACCCCACCAAGUAUCCAAAUACUGUGAGACACAGCUAGCUUUCUUUUAUGUGCUGGUGUUUGUAGAUUUGGGCAAGGGGGGUUGAAAGGAAGGGGGUAUGGUGGAGUGACGUUUCUACAGGUGAUUACUGAAGAUGCAGAGGACAAGGAGAGAUUCUGAGCCUUUGCCCUACACAUCACAGGUCUCCUUGUCUACUCUUGGCCAGUUUUAAAUCUGAAGUUUUAUGGAUAGGGCCUGAUAUUAAGAGCGUUCUCCUUGGACACAAGUAAAAUCCGUUGUUCAGAACGGAGGUGGAGAGACUUGUGAAAGGCCAGUUUUUUGUAAGAUUACGCAAUGCUCUUAGAGUGAAAAUGCCACUGUUUAGUGUGUAUUAAAUGGCAUCUGAAGGUGUUUGGUAAAUUGCGUCUGUGUCGAUACACUGAAAAUCUCAAUGGGCCAUGCAAAGAAGGCAUUCAAGGUUCACGACCUCCACAUGUCCUUCAGGAGUUGCAUUUCCAAAGAUGAUGUAAUACAUGUUUUGAUGUUUGUUUUGUAAUUUUCUUUUUUUUUUUUUUUCGUGUGUGUGUGUGUGCUGGUUUGCUUUUUAUUGGUGUCUGUAGCUCAAGUAAAAUGCUUAAGACCAAAAUAUUUAAAUAGUAGGGCUACUUUGAGAUGAAAUCUAUAUUCUUCUUGCUGCAUAACAAUAUCUAGUGUUUAAUAAAAGACCCCCACAUCCUUGUUUUUUUUCAGAAAGAUACUUUAAGGUCAUACCCUCCUAAAGUGCCCCUUGUCCCCAGUAGCUGUGGGACAGGGCACAAAUUCUUGUAAAGGACCUUAAGCCUGCGGCAGCAUGACAAGAAACGAGAGAAAAUGGUUGCAAACGUGGGGAGUUCUCACCUGGUUCAUAUUUGGAUGGGAAAAUCUCUUGGUUUUGAUUUUGUUACAGGUGUUUGAAAGCUUUAGACGCGUCUGUUCAACAGAUGUGGAAGUGGUAUUAAUUAGUAUUGUUCGACUUAACGAGCAUCUCAGUAGCUAUGGACGUAGGCCUUUAUAGACUAGGAACAUAAUGAAGCUGCCUAGUGACAUGCUUGGAGCAUGAGGUAUUUAAACUGUUUAUAUAUAAAGCCUAAAAGUGAAGUAGGAAAGGCAAAAAAAUAUUUAAAAAAUGCUUUAUUUCUGUAGUUGUACAUCUACAGCUUUAAAACAAUUGCCAUAAGCAAUAAGGUGGCACUAAAUAACGGUUGUUUCUAAUCGAGACGUUGGCUGGCCCCUUUUCAGUGUUCAAUUUUACAAAAAAAAAACUGUUAAUUUACCUGUAAAAAAAAAAAAAAAAAAAAAAAUUCUAAAUUUUUCAAUUUUAUCUUUAAAGAUUUCUGCUAAUGGGAAUGAUUUACUCAGUUGCUUUCUAUACAAGAAAACUCAUUUCGAAUAUUUGAUAAGCUCAAUAAUUUUUUAUAUUUUUUUUUUUCCCUUUACCUACUUCCAUGUUCUAAGUCUAGUUGAAUGGUCGUGGGGUCGGCUCUACCACAGGUACGGGAGCUGUUGUAUACCUCAUUUUAAAACUUAAUACAGAGUAAUUUGCUUUAACUUUGUCUAGAAACCUUGCACCGCCGUUAACUUUGCCACGAGUAAGGUCGACCUAUUGGCCAGUAGCACCAUGGGGCAGAUUUCUUGUACUAUUUAAGUCCCUCCAUACAUUAGAUCUUUUAUACAUUGAGGGCAUAUUGCAAUCUCAUGCUUUCUCUGUUAGAAGACGUUGCUUGAUCGGAGAUAGGUUCAAGUCUAAAGUAACACAAUACUUCUGCCUUUUACAUGAUGCAAAUGAAUGCGUGCAUGAUAUCAUUUCCUGUAGUACACCAGGGGCCAGCCUAAUCGUCUCCACUUGGUGCUACGCUAAUACUGCGCUCAUCAGCUGGCUGAACAAAAUGGCAGUUGCAGUCCAAGUACCGGUGGAGAUGCUUCAGGUGACCUCUUCUGUUACAGAAAGUGAAAGGUUUUGUGAAAGUUUAGAGUAAAAACUGCUAGAAUUUAUUGUACUUUUUCUACCUUGUUGAUUCACACUGCUUUAUCUCAAUACUGACCAAAAAAAAGUGUAAAUGCAAGUGUUAGUGUUUGGACAAUCUUGCGUAACAUCUGGUUUGGGAGCAUCCUUGCUUCUCAUCUACUGUUUUUACUCUGAAUGUAGCAGUUCCUCCACCCUGUUCUAGGACAUCUGUUGUGCCCACGUCGCUGUGCCGCCGCCGCUGCUGCUGUUAAGCGCCGGUGUCUGGUUUCUUUGUCUUGUUUUGUUACGUUUUAAAUUUCCAGCCAAAACCAAAGAUUUCUCUAUGAUUGUAUAAACUGAAAACAAAAACCAAAAAAUAUAUCUGUUGGAGAGAACAUGUCUUCGUGUCCAGGUCUCGUCUGUGGCUGGUACAGAGGGGUUUCUAGAAUUUGUAUGUUUGAAAUAACCACUGUUGUUGAGUUUGGGGCUUUGCCCUUGAGCGAUCUUCUAGCCAUGUCUCAGAGUGCCCGGUGCACUGAAGAUGCCAGGGUUUUUCUGGCUCCUCUGGUGGGUUUUCCUUUAUUUUUCCAGAGUCGGGAGGGCUGUUGAUUAACUAAAGCAAUGCAUUUUCUAGGCUUCUCCGAUCUGUUAAGUCAAACCCCUUGUGGGCUGGGUGAUGUUGAUUAAUACACGCUGAGGUGCACUUUUUUUUUUUUCUCUCUUCUCACCCUUUCCUAGAAAUAAACGGAACAAACUGUUAAACACAUCCAUCGCCCAUAGCUUUCUCCUGGUUUGUGCUCCUCUCAGCGCCACAUGCAACUAUGCAUUGUAUUUUUCAACUUUUCUUGUGCUAGGUAGAUGCCUGUGACUUUUUUAACUUUUUUUUUUUUUUUUGGGUGGGGGGGGGGGGAGAGCAGGGUGGGGUUGCAAAUGAAGGAACUUUUUACAUGGCUGUGGUUUUUUUUUUUUUUCUCUUCUAUUCUCAGUUGUUUGUGGGGGUGUUGGUCGUAGGGUCAUACAAGCUCUAUCCCAAAGCAAAAUCCAAAUGUUACUAAUUUUAGCCUGAUGCAGAUACCAAAGAAAAUUUCUUUCCUGCAGAACCUUAGACUUGUGUAUUAAAGUACUAUUACCCAGCACUUGCAUUAGUCUAACCUCAGUAAUUCCAAAGCUUAGAUGUAUAUUUUGGUAUAUUUCUGGGAUAUUAAAAAAAUAGAAAAAAAUAAAAAAAUUGUUGUUGAAAUGAUGUUCGUUUCAGUGUAAUGCUCUUAAAGUCAUAGCAUGGAGAUUAACUGACCUGUCUUAUUCUUAGUAGUUUGAAAUAAUAGUAUUUUUGUAUGUUUUGGGUGUGUCUGUGUAUGUAUUAACAUAACAGUUUUCACUGCCUAUAUGUUCAUAUUAAAAAUUGACUAAAAAAAAUUUGGAAAAAAAAAUGAAAGUUCUAAAAUGUGUACAUAAUAUUCAAUAAUGAAAAAUGUCAUCUGAACUCCAAUUUCUGCUCAUGUUUUCACUGAUUACAGUUUCCACCUUGGGUGAUUUUAUAUUUAAAGAAACUGCCGCCCUUGUUUCUCUUUGUUUUGUCAAAAUGUAAAUUGUUGUAAUAAUUGUGAUGUGUUACCUUUAAAUAAAGUGUAUGAAUUUUUACAUUUUCUUUGUGUUGUUUGAAGGAACAUGGGACAGCCUUAAACUGCUAUGGACGUUCCUUCCAAAACCAUUUUAUGCUUUACUGAUAGUGUGAAAAUUGUUUUUAUUAAUAUAUGUCAAAUUUAGCUCGGACCACUGCACCAAAUAACCCAUUGAAUAUUGGCACUGAAUAUAUCUUGGAGCAUAGUUGUUUUUCUUGUUUUUUUUUUUAUUUUGCCCCUUAGAUUUUGAAUAUCAAAAAUAGGGGCAGACUGAAGACCAUUAUGCCUAAAAUAUUAAAAUUUAGCACGUAAGUCAGCAAUGGCUAAACAUGGCAUUAGAAAUUUCUUGUGUGCUGAAGCAUCAUGGGAAACGCAGUGGUUCUUCAUUAUUCUAAUGCAUUUCAAACCAAAGUUAAAAAAUAAACUGGUAAAAUUCUCUUUACUGUUGUGUGUAUAAAUAACUAGCAAAACCAAUCUGAAGUCACUUCUGUCAGACUAUGAAAAUACAACCAUUUUAAUGCAAUAUGAUUUGUACACUUGACAUUGGAGAAACUGGGUGACUGUCGCUUUAAAGACAACCUUGCAUUUUUCCUAGUGGGACACCUUGGGGUGCUCACGAACUCUGAAAGAUUAUGUAGACUACAGUGAAUCAGGAUAAAUGGUAGAUUUUGUGUAGACGCAUUUGUCUGCUGUAAUUUUUUAUAUAUAUUAAACUUACUGUAACUGUACAGUUCAUUUCUGUUGUAAACAUCAUUAAAC